RNAcentral lists this transfer RNA (75 nucleotides) under Bacteroidales bacterium WCE2008. RNAcentral's name for it is "tRNA_Arg_CCG". It matches the Rfam family "tRNA". From Rfam's summary of the family: Transfer RNA (tRNA) molecules are approximately 80 nucleotides in length. The record is from RNAcentral. Lineage: Bacteria; Pseudomonadati; Bacteroidota; Bacteroidia; Bacteroidales.
GCCUCCGUAGUUUAAAGGAUAGAAUUUCAGAUUCCGGUUCUGACGGUCCCGGUUCGAUUCCGAGCGGGGGUACGA